This 30-nucleotide non-coding RNA is filed under the name Mus musculus (house mouse). The record is from RNAcentral. Lineage: Eukaryota; Metazoa; Chordata; Mammalia; Rodentia; Muridae.
UGUGUUCCCAAAAUUGAGUACCGGCUGGUC